Molecule: ribosomal RNA, 163 nt
Filed under: uncultured soil bacterium
Lineage: Bacteria
Description: partial 16S ribosomal RNA
Rfam family: Bacterial small subunit ribosomal RNA
Source: RNAcentral
AGGACGAACGCUGGCGGCGUGCUUAACACAUGCAAGUCGAGCGGUAAGGCCCUUUCGGGGGUACACGAGCGGCGAACGGGUGAGUAACACGUGGGUAACCUGCCCUCAGCUCUGGGAUAAGCCCGGGAAACUGGGUCUAAUACCGGAUAUGACCUCGUAUCGC